Molecule: ribosomal RNA, 421 nt
Filed under: Pelophylax cf. bedriagae
Lineage: Eukaryota; Metazoa; Chordata; Amphibia; Anura; Ranidae
Description: partial 12S ribosomal RNA
Source: RNAcentral
UAGCCUUACUAUCAUCUGUUUCUCAUUUUACACAUGCAAGUCUCAGCACCCCAGUGAGAACGCCCUUUUAACCUACACCAGGAGAAGGAGCUGGCAUCAGGCACAAUCCCUGCCCAUAACACCUAGUCUCACCACACCCCCAAGGGUAAUCAGCAGUGAUAAAUCUUAAAUAUAAGCGACAGCUUGAUUUAGUUAGAGAAAAGAGGGCCGGCUAACCCGGUGCCAGCCGCCGCGGCUACACCGUGGGGCCCGAGCUGAUAGUCACCGGCGUUAAGCGUGAUUAAAGCCCUCAACAAUUAGGGUUAAAUUAAUAUUUAGUAGUGAUAAGCUUGUUAUUAAGAAAACCAUAAACGAAAGUUACCCUAAUUACACUUGAAUCCACGACAACUGGGAAAACAAACUGGGAUUAGAUACCAGCACU